UUUGAUCCUGGCUCAGGAUGAACGCUGGCGGCGUGCUUAACACAUGCAAGUCGAACGAUGAAGCCCAGCUUGCUGGGUGGAUUAGUGGCGAACGGGUGAGUAACACGUGAGUAACCUGCCCUUGACUCUGGGAUAAGCCUGGGAAACUGGGUCUAAUACCGGAUAGGAACGUCCACCGCAUGGUGGGUGUUGGAAAGAUUUAUCGGUCAUGGAUGGACUCGCGGCCUAUCAGCUUGUUGGUGAGGUAAUGGCUCACCAAGGCGACGACGGGUAGCCGGCCUGAGAGGGUGACCGGCCACACUGGGACUGAGACACGGCCCAGACUCCUACGGGAGGCAGCAGUGGGGAAUAUUGCACAAUGGGCGAAAGCCUGAUGCAGCGACGCCGCGUGAGGGAUGACGGCCUUCGGGUUGUAAACCUCUUUCAGUAGGGAAGAAGCGAAAGUGACGGUACCUGCAGAAGAAGCACCGGCUAACUACGUGCCAGCAGCCGCGGUAAUACGUAGGGUGCGAGCGUUAUCCGGAAUUAUUGGGCGUAAAGAGCUCGUAGGCGGUUUGUCGCGUCUGUCGUGAAAGUCCGGGGCUUAACCCCGGAUCUGCGGUGGGUACGGGCAGACUAGAGUGCAGUAGGGGAGACUGGAAUUCCUGGUGUAGCGGUGGAAUGCGCAGAUAUCAGGAGGAACACCGAUGGCGAAGGCAGGUCUCUGGGCUGUAACUGACGCUGAGGAGCGAAAGCAUGGGGAGCGAACAGGAUUAGAUACCCUGGUAGUCCAUGCCGUAA
RNAcentral lists this ribosomal RNA (780 nucleotides) under Micrococcus sp. RNAcentral describes it as "bacterial SSU rRNA". It matches the Rfam family "Bacterial small subunit ribosomal RNA", at positions 12 to 805 of the family's 1533-position model. Lineage: Bacteria; Bacillati; Actinomycetota; Actinomycetes; Micrococcales; Micrococcaceae. The record is from RNAcentral.